RNAcentral lists this long non-coding RNA (267 nucleotides) under Pelobates cultripes (western spadefoot toad). Lineage: Eukaryota; Metazoa; Chordata; Amphibia; Anura; Pelobatidae. The record is from RNAcentral.
CUCACUGAUUGACAAAUAUUUUGAAGCACCAGGCAUCACCACCUUAACACAGAAUUACUGUAAGUCCUGUACUAUAUGUGCUAAAUGCAAUCCUGGAAAGAUUAUAAAGACCGCACCUAACCACCUAGCCAAGCCACAAUAUCCCUUUCAGAGGAUCCAGAUUGAUCACAUUCAGAUGCCAAAGAGUGGACGUUAUGAAUAUGCAUUGGUCAUAGUGGACAUGUUUUCAGGAUGGCCAGAGGCCUUCCCCGUGACUAACCUCACCGC